Non-coding RNA from Nicotiana tabacum (common tobacco), 345 nucleotides. NCBI's taxonomy places the organism in Eukaryota, Viridiplantae, Streptophyta, Magnoliopsida, Solanales, Solanaceae. The record is from RefSeq and is a predicted model, not a curated record.
CACACAACCAAACACACACACCAACACACAGUUCUUUAAAAGCCCCCUGGUGGACAUCACAGUUGGAACUUGUUCUAGACACAGUCGACUCGCUUGAUUAUUGACUGGAAUUACAACAGGUAUUUGUAAUACAACCUUUUGGAUGGUAAUAUGUUGCCUUGGAUUCGGAGUUUUUGUUUCCGCUGGAGGCCAAAUGACAACAAUAUCUAAUUAGAGCGCAUUAUCCACGUCAGAAGUUAAACCUCCGUGGUUAGGCAAGUUAUUACUUCAUUUUCAGAAAUAGACGUAAUUGCGUAAAUGUUAAUUACCUACACGUUGGUUAUUGAAGAACGAGAUGUGGGAGUA